RNAcentral lists this ribosomal RNA (256 nucleotides) under uncultured bacterium. Its description in RNAcentral is "partial 16S ribosomal RNA". It matches the Rfam family "Bacterial small subunit ribosomal RNA", at positions 524 to 777 of the family's 1533-position model. The record is from RNAcentral.
UACGAAGGGGGCUAGCGUUGCUCGGAAUCACUGGGCGUAAAGGGUGCGUAGGCGGGUCUUUAAGUCAGGGGUGAAAUCCUGGAGCUCAACUCCAGAACUGCCUUUGAUACUGAAGAUCUUGAGUUCGGGAGAGGUGAGUGGAACUGCGAGUGUAGAGGUGAAAUUCGUAGAUAUUCGCAAGAAACACCAGUGGCGAAGGGCGGCUCACUGGCCCGAUACUGACGCUGAGGCACGGAAAGCGUGGGAGCAAACAGGG